RNAcentral lists this ribosomal RNA (460 nucleotides) under uncultured Bacteroidota bacterium. RNAcentral describes it as "uncultured Bacteroidetes bacterium partial 16S ribosomal RNA". Lineage: Bacteria; Pseudomonadati; Bacteroidota. The record is from RNAcentral.
GACUACCCGGGUAUCUAAGCCUGUUUGAUCCCCACGCUUUCGUGCCUCAGCGUCAGUAUCGCCUUAGUAAGCUGCCUUCGCAAUUGGUGUUCUAUGUCAUAUCUAAGCAUUUCACCGCUACACGACAUAUUCCGCCUACUUCAAGCGCACUCAAGAUCGUCAGUAUCAAUGGCAAGUCUACAGUUGAGCUGCAGGAUUUCACCACUGACUUAACGACCCGCCUACGCACCCUUUAAACCCAAUGAAUCCGGAUAACGCUUGCACCCUUCGUAUUACCGCGGCUGCUGGCACGAAGUUAGCCGGUGCUUAUUCCUCAGGUACCGUCAACCCCAGACACGUCUGGGGGUUUCUUCCCUGGUAAAAGCAGUUUACGACGCGUAGCGCCUUCUUCCUGCACGCGGCAUGGCUGCGUCAGAGUUGCCUCCAUUGCGCAAUAUUCCUCACUGCAGCCACCCGUAGG